GAUGAACGCUAGCUACAGGCUUAACACAUGCCAGUCGCGGGGCAGCAUGGGGGUUGCUUGCAAUCCCCGAUGGCGACCGGCGCACGGGUGAGUAACGCGUAUCCAACCUGCCCUUCACCACGGGAUAACCCGGCGAAAGUCGGACUAAUACCGUAUGUUGUCCAUUGACGGCAUCCGAUUUGGACGAAAGGUUUGGCGGUGAAGGAUGGGGAUGCGUCCGAUUAGCUGGACGGCGGGGUGACGGCCCACCGUGGCGACGAUCGGUAGGGGUUCUGAGAGGAAGGUCCCCCACACUGGAACUGAGACACGGUCCAGACUCCUACGGGAGGCAGCAGUGAGGAAUAUUGGUCAAUGGGCGUAAGCCUGAACCAGCCAAGUAGCGUGCAGGAUGACGGCCCUAUGGGUUGUAAACUGCUUUUAUGCGGGGAUAAAGUGGCCCACGUGUGGGUUUUUGCAGGUACCGCAUGAAUAAAGACCGGCUAAUUCCGUG
RNAcentral lists this ribosomal RNA (490 nucleotides) under uncultured bacterium. RNAcentral describes it as "partial 16S ribosomal RNA". It matches the Rfam family "Bacterial small subunit ribosomal RNA", at positions 28 to 507 of the family's 1533-position model. The record is from RNAcentral.